This 814-nucleotide ribosomal RNA is filed under the name uncultured bacterium. RNAcentral's name for it is "bacterial SSU rRNA". It matches the Rfam family "Bacterial small subunit ribosomal RNA", at positions 60 to 841 of the family's 1533-position model. The record is from RNAcentral.
AGUCGAGCGAGCGGAACCACAGAUUUACUUCGGUAAUGACGUUGGGAAAGCGAGCGGCGGAUGGGUGAGUAACACGUGGGGAACCUGCCCCUAAGUCUGGGAUACCAUUUGGAAACAGGUGCUAAUACCGGAUAAUAAAGCAGAUCGCAUGAUCAGCUUUUGAAAGGCGGCGUAAGCUGUCGCUAAGGGAUGGCCCCGCGGUGCAUUAGCUAGUUGGUAAGGUAACGGCUUACCAAGGCGACGAUGCAUAGCCGAGUUGAGAGACUGAUCGGCCACAUUGGGACUGAGACACGGCCCAAACUCCUACGGGAGGCAGCAGUAGGGAAUCUUCCACAAUGGACGCAAGUCUGAUGGAGCAACGCCGCGUGAGUGAAGAAGGUUUUCGGAUCGUAAAGCUCUGUUGUUGGUGAAGAAGGAUAGAGGUAGUAACUGGCCUUUAUUUGACGGUAAUCAACCAGAAAGUCACGGCUAACUACGUGCCAGCAGCCGCGGUAAUACGUAGGUGGCAAGCGUUGUCCGGAUUUAUUGGGCGUAAAGCGAGCGCAGGCGGAAAAAUAAGUCUAAUGUGAAAGCCCUCGGCUUAACCGAGGAACUGCAUCGGAAACUGUUUUUCUUGAGUGCAGAAGAGGAGAGUGGAACUCCAUGUGUAGCGGUGGAAUGCGUAGAUAUAUGGAAGAACACCAGUGGCGAAGGCGGCUCUCUGGUCUGCAACUGACGCUGAGGCUCGAAAGCAUGGGUAGCGAACAGGAUUAGAUACCCUGGUAGUCCAUGCCGUAAACGAUGAGUGCUAAGUGUUGGGAGGUUUCCGCCUCUC